RNAcentral lists this ribosomal RNA (497 nucleotides) under uncultured bacterium. RNAcentral's name for it is "partial 16S ribosomal RNA". It matches the Rfam family "Bacterial small subunit ribosomal RNA", at positions 28 to 507 of the family's 1533-position model. The record is from RNAcentral.
GAUGAACGCUGGCGGCGUGCCUAAUACAUGCAAGUCGAGCGAACAGACGAGGAGCUUGCUCCUCUGACGUUAGCGGCGGACGGGUGAGUAACACGUGGAUAACCUACCUAUAAGACUGGGAUAACUUCGGGAAACCGGAGCUAAUACCGGAUAAUAUAUUGAACCGCAUGGUUCAAUAGUGAAAGACGGUUUUGCUGUCACUUAUAGAUGGAUCCGCGCCGCAUUAGCUAGUUGGUAAGGUAACGGCUUACCAAGGCAACGAUGCGUAGCCGACCUGAGAGAGGGAUCGGCCACCCUGGAACUGAGACACGGUCCAGACUCCUACGGGAGGCAGCAGUAGGGAAUCUUCCGCAAUGGGCGAAAGCCUGACGGAGCAACGCCGCGUGAGUGAUGAAGGUCUUCGGAUCGUAAAACUCUGUUAUUAGGGAAGAACAAAUGUGUAAGUAACUAUGCACGUCUUGACGGUACCUAAUCAGAAAGCCACGGCUAACUACGUG